AGUGAACGCUGGCAGCGUGCUUAACACAUGCAAGUCGAACGAGAACGGGUUAUAGCUUGCUAUAAUUGUCAGCUAAGUGGCGCACGGGUGAGUAAUGUAUAGGUAAUAUGCCUCUUACUAAGGGAUAACAAAUGGAAACGUUUGCUAAUACCUUAUACUCCUUAUUAACAGAAGUUAAUAAGGGAAAGAUUUAUUGGUAAGAGAUUAGCCUGUAUUGUAUCAGUUAGUUGGUGGGGUAAUGGCUUACCAAGACUAUGACACAUAACUGGUUUGAGAGGAUGAUCAGUCACACUGGAACUGAGACACGGUCCAGACUCCUACGGGAGGCAGCAGUGGGGAAUAUUGCACAAUGGACGGAAGUCUGAUGCGGCAACGCCGCGUGGAGGAUGACACAUUUCGGUGCGUAAACUCCUUUUAUAUGAGAAGAUAAUGACGGUAUUAUAUGAAUAAGCACCGGCUAACUCCGUGCCAGCCGCCGCGGUAA
RNAcentral lists this ribosomal RNA (484 nucleotides) under uncultured bacterium. Its description in RNAcentral is "partial 16S ribosomal RNA". It matches the Rfam family "Bacterial small subunit ribosomal RNA", at positions 29 to 523 of the family's 1533-position model. The record is from RNAcentral.